AACGUAGGAGACAAACGUUAUCCGGAGUCACUGGGCGUAAAGGGCGCGUAGGCGGCUUUAUAAGUCGGGGGUGAAAGCCUGUGGCUCAACCACAGAAUUGCCUUCGAUACUGUAGAGCUUGAGACCGGAAGAGGUAAGUGGAACUGCGAGUGUAGAGGUGAAAUUCGUAGAUAUUCGCAAGAACACCAGUGGCGAAGGCGGCUCACUGGCCCGAUACUGACGCUGAGGCACGAAAGCGUGGGGAGCAAACAGG
This 253-nucleotide ribosomal RNA is filed under the name uncultured bacterium. RNAcentral describes it as "partial 16S ribosomal RNA". It matches the Rfam family "Bacterial small subunit ribosomal RNA", at positions 524 to 776 of the family's 1533-position model. The record is from RNAcentral.